UGAUUCAUUCCUAUUCUGUAGUUUGAAAAAUACGUUUUUUGUGGUUCGAAUUUUUGAAGUGUCGAGGAAAAAUGGAAGAGGCUGGUGAUCGUGAUAAUCAGAAUUUUCUGACAUCGUAACUCUUUCAUUGCGAGAAACGUCCCUUGAUUGAUUCAUUUAUUUUCUGUAGUUUGAAGGAAAAAGUGUUUUGUGGUUUAGUUUGAAGUGUCGGGAAAAAUGGAAGAAACUGGUGACCGUUUUGUGAUCGUGAUAAUCAGAAUUUACUGACCGCGUGACUCAUUUCAUUGCGACAAACGUCCUUUGAAUAUAUAUGUUUUGAUUCACCUUUAUUCUGUAGUUUGAAGGAGAAAGUGUUUUGUGAUUUGAAGGUUUGAAGUGUCGGCAAAAAUGGAAGAAACUGGUGAUCGUUUUGUGAUCGUGAUAAUAAGAAUUUUCUGACAGCGUGACUCAUUUCAUUGCGAGAAAAGUUCCUUUGAAUAUAUGUUUUCAGAGGUAUUGAUCUAUAUUUGAAAAUAUUGUGUAUAAUGGCUGAUUCACGUCUGAGAACCAUCAAAAUCAAAACCGGCGUGGUAAAAAGAUUGGCAAAAGAAAAAACUGUAUAUGAACUAGAAGCAGAUCAACAAAAAAACCGCAUUGAAAAACUGAAAGGUCAGGGCAAAGAUGAAUAUGAAAUAAAAAAGCAAGAAGAAGUUCUGAAUGAAUGCCAAAUGAUGGUUCCUGAUUGUCAACGUAGACUUGCAGUUGCUUUUGAAGAAUUGAAACAAAUCCUUGAAACUGAACAGGACUUAAAAGAGGAUGAAUCCUACUUAACUGCACAGAAAGUUUUGGAAGAAGCCAAGUUACAGUUGCCUAAGGCCAGUGAACUGCAUAUGUGUUAAUUUUGAAGUGUAUCUUUCAGUAAAGACAAAUACUAAAUUUUUAUAAUGAACUUUUUAAAAUAUCAAAACUUUUCUAAUCGUAGUGUUAAUCUUGAGGUGUCGGUUAUAACGGAUCCUAGGACUAAUAUUUUGCAAACGCUGUACAGUCAGUCCAAUGAUGAGCUGUGGAUAGAUUCAUGGCUGCAGCAAAAUAAUAUCUAUCACCCUAUUCCUAAAAUAAAGAUAAACAAAGCUGCCAAUGUGAUCUCUAUCAGUGAUGCCCAAUCUUCUCUCAAAGAAUGCCUCAUGCUCAUGGAGAAACUUA
Molecule: unclassified non-coding RNA, 1182 nt
Filed under: Leptinotarsa decemlineata (Colorado potato beetle)
Lineage: Eukaryota; Metazoa; Arthropoda; Insecta; Coleoptera; Chrysomelidae
Description: programmed cell death protein 7-like, transcript variant X1
Source: RNAcentral